Molecule: long non-coding RNA, 801 nt
Filed under: Gossypium barbadense (sea-island cotton)
Lineage: Eukaryota; Viridiplantae; Streptophyta; Magnoliopsida; Malvales; Malvaceae
Description: long non-coding RNA (GBAR_LNC009322)
Source: RNAcentral
CUGCAUUUGUGAUUUGGUCCUUCAGACAAGAGAUUCGAUUCGGAACUAUUAUAUGUCCAAGGUCCAAUAUUGAAAUAAUUUCAGAGGUUUUCCCUGACUUUGUCAGAUUACGUGAUUUGGGGCACCCACUUCCUAGAUUUUCAGGCCAAAAACAUGGGUGGUUGUUCCUUCUUCACCCACUACCUACAAAUGGCAUAAAAAACAAGCAAAAUGGUAGAAAUGAAGAAGGAACACAAAAAAAAGAGAGAGGAUUCUCCCAUUUGAAAAAAAAAGAGCAAAAAAAUUCCAGCAAAAAAAAAUCCAAAAAAAAACAUUAGCAAUCAAAAGAAAAAACGCAGAAAGGUGGAUCUUCGAUUUCAUUUUAUUUGUUUUCAUUUCGUUUUAACUUCUUCUUAGUUUCCUUUCAAAUUUACUGCAAAUCAAUAAACAAAAAGGGGGUUUUGUUUUCAAAUACAAAAAAGGGGGUUGUAUUACACAGAUUAUUAUAAAAAAGAGAACAAAAAAGGUUGUUUUCAUAUUUUCUUUCCUUGGUUUUUUUUUCUUUCUUUAGAUUUUUUUUAUUUUAUUUUUUGUGUUAAAUCUUUUAAAAAAACAAAAAAAAAACAAAAAAGGGCCUGAAAACUUACCUAUUCUUCGCGUCCCGCCCCCAUCGGAGAUUCCCUGAUCCAAAAGGGCCACGAAACCCCUCAGGUUUCUCGUUUAGGCUAUGGAAAAGAAGAGGGGGAUGAGUACUCGGAGGGCGAAAUAGGAGCUUUCUCACUUGAACUUGGUGAGAGAGAGGUUUGUUUCAGAGAAAUGAAA